This 374-nucleotide ribosomal RNA is filed under the name uncultured myxomycete. RNAcentral's name for it is "bacterial SSU rRNA". It matches the Rfam family "Eukaryotic small subunit ribosomal RNA", at positions 76 to 407 of the family's 1831-position model. The record is from RNAcentral. Lineage: Eukaryota; Evosea; Eumycetozoa.
UCUCUCUGAAUCUGCGAACGGCUCCGCACACCAGUUGCAAACUAUAGCAAGCAAGCCCGUCGUUUCGCCGCAAGGUGGGCGGCGGGUAGAUGGAUAACCCUGGUAAUUCUGCGGCUAAUACAAGAACGCACAACCUUGUCGACCGGGUAACUGGAAGGCGGGGGGGCGUGCUCUUUAAGUUGCAAGUAUAACCGGGAAAGGGGGCACGUCAUGACCACGCUAAAACGGAAAGUUGGUUCACUCCUUCUCUCUAGCGGCUCUUGCUGUCUACUUCUGACCUAUCAACUAGAUGGCAGCGUAAGGAACAUGCUAUGGUUACAACGGGUACAGAGGAUUAGGGUUCGAUCCUGGAGAGUGGGCCUGAGAGAUUGAGC